AUCGCUUCUCCGCCUUUUGGCUCAGAUCAAGUGUAGUAUCUGUUCUUAUCAGUUUAAUAUCUGAUACGUCCCCCAUCGGGGGACUACAUAUUAAAUGGAUUUUUCGAACAGGGAGUCGGAAAUGGGGCUUGCUCCGUCCGCUCCACGCAUCGACCCGGUAUUGCAGUACCUCCGGGAACGGUGCAACACUU
RNAcentral lists this small nuclear RNA (191 nucleotides) under Salmo salar (Atlantic salmon). RNAcentral's name for it is "U2 spliceosomal RNA". It matches the Rfam family "U2 spliceosomal RNA". Rfam says of the family: U2 is a small nuclear RNA (snRNA) component of the spliceosome (involved in pre-mRNA splicing). The record is from Rfam by way of RNAcentral. Lineage: Eukaryota; Metazoa; Chordata; Actinopteri; Salmoniformes; Salmonidae.